Mus musculus (house mouse) is the source of this 1118-nucleotide long non-coding RNA. RefSeq annotates it as predicted gene, 34645. Lineage: Eukaryota; Metazoa; Chordata; Mammalia; Rodentia; Muridae. The transcript is spliced from 3 exons. The record is from RefSeq and is a predicted model, not a curated record.
GGGCACUGAUCCCUCCAAUAGGAGGCUGGGGAGGAGCUCCUGCCGGAGGAGAAGGACAAAUAGAUGUUGGGUGAGGUGUAGAAGGGAGAGGAGGCCAGCCACAAUGUGGGCUUGUCCACGAUCUGCUGCUUGGAUGCAGAGGUCAGCUGAGAGCUUCCAGGUGUGCAUCCAACGACCUGCCGUAACCUGCCAGACGCUUCUGAUCGGAGGUCCCUAGACCACAGCAAAGAACCAUUCUGUAAGCCCCGACUCGAAAGGAAUCCAGCUUCUCCCCCAUGUCUCUACCUCCCCAAAGAGGGAAGAGGUGAAGAAGAAAGACACCCAAACACAUCUCUUUACAAAGCAGCUAUCACCCUGACCACUUCAGAGAGGUGGAGACGACUACUAUGAAUGCUAGCAACUUCUCUGAAGCCUUGUGAAGUAUGAGUCCAGGAAAUAAGACCCAGGAGGUCAGGGAUCCAAGCCUGUGGCCCCAUACCUUCCCCUUUUAUCAGAUGCACUGGCCACAGGCCAGCAUAGCAGGGUCAGGACCAACACACUGACCUUCUGAAUUAGCAGAGUCUAAGAGGCUCAGAAAGUGAUGGUUUUCUAGUAAAGAGAGUUCAGGAUCCUAACUAGAAGAGAAAAGAAAGGAAGAUCGCUCAUUUCCCCAGUUUUCAAGUUGUGAACUGACACCCUGUGGCCUUCUUUGCUUUGAUGGUGUGUUUUAUCAGCACUUGGCUUUGAUGUCAUUAGAAAGACGAAUGGAACACAGCCACUUACCUUGUAUUCAUGAUAAAAUGACAAACCUGUAGAAUGCACGAGGUCCAUUUGCCCAAAGCUUCAUGCUCCCAGUUAUGUGCUGUAGACCUGUGAACAGGCAGAAUUAAGGGGAGAGCUUAUAUUGAUGGCCACAGAAAGAGCCCGAGUACACUCUACACAGGUCAUAAUGGCGGCCACCUAGGAAAUGCCCUUGCUUUGAAUCAUCUCAUUCACCUUUCCACCAAAAGAGAAUUCUUCCUUUCCUAAGGCUUACCAUGUCUCUUUUGUGCAGCUCGAAAUCCUUUAGGACCAGUGUUAGGAGAAAUCAAUAGCAAUCAAUCUUUCUUUCUUUAUUCUUCAAUGAUGCUCUUCCAUAG